GGCCGUGGAGACGGUGGAGGGCGGAGCGGCGGCGGCGAAGGCGCCGUACUGGGACCCGCCGCCGGCGCCGCUGCUGGACACGAGCGAGCUGGGUAAGUGGUCGCUGUACCGUGCCCUCAUCGCGGAGUUCAUGGCGACGCUCAUCUUCCUCUACGUGAGCAUCGCCACCGUGAUCGGGUACAAGAACCAGAGGGCCACCGUCGACGCGUGCACCGGCGUCGGCUACCUCGGCGUGGCGUGGUCGUUCGGUGCCACCAUAUUCGUCCUCGUCUACUGCACCGGCGGCGUCUCCGGCGGGCACAUCAACCCGGCGGUGACGCUGGGCCUCUUC
This 331-nucleotide unclassified non-coding RNA is filed under the name Hevea brasiliensis (rubber tree). Lineage: Eukaryota; Viridiplantae; Streptophyta; Magnoliopsida; Malpighiales; Euphorbiaceae. The record is from RNAcentral.